CCCUUAGAUGUCCUGGCCCGCACGCGCGCUACACUGACAUGUUCAACAAGCCUCCUAGUUCGACAGGAUUUGGGAAAUCUUUGAACGCAUGUCGUGAUAGGGAUAGAUCAUUGCAAUUAUUGAUCUUGAACGAGGAAUUCCUAGUAAACGCGAGUCAUCAGCUCGCAUUGAUUACGUCCCUGCCCUUUGUACACACCGCCCGUCGCACCUACCGAUUGAAUGUUUCGGUGAAGAUUCCGGAUAGGACUUUUUUGAUUUAUUUCAAUUUUGUCUUAAAAGCUAUCUAAACCUCAACAUUUAGAGGAAGGUGAAGUCGUAACA
RNAcentral lists this ribosomal RNA (321 nucleotides) under uncultured eukaryote. RNAcentral's name for it is "partial 18S ribosomal RNA". It matches the Rfam family "Eukaryotic small subunit ribosomal RNA", at positions 1470 to 1796 of the family's 1831-position model. The record is from RNAcentral.